Molecule: ribosomal RNA, 551 nt
Filed under: Candida albicans
Lineage: Eukaryota; Fungi; Ascomycota; Pichiomycetes; Serinales; Debaryomycetaceae
Description: partial large subunit ribosomal RNA
Rfam family: Eukaryotic large subunit ribosomal RNA
Source: RNAcentral
GCGGCGAGUGAAGCGGCAAAAGCUCAAAUUUGAAAUCUGGCGUCUUUGGCGUCCGAGUUGUAAUUUGAAGAAGGUAUCUUUGGGCCCGGCUCUUGUCUAUGUUCCUUGGAACAGGACGUCACAGAGGGUGAGAAUCCCGUGCGAUGAGAUGACCCGGGUCUGUGUAAAGUUCCUUCGACGAGUCGAGUUGUUUGGGAAUGCAGCUCUAAGUGGGUGGUAAAUUCCAUCUAAAGCUAAAUAUUGGCGAGAGACCGAUAGCGAACAAGUACAGUGAUGGAAAGAUGAAAAGAACUUUGAAAAGAGAGUGAAAAAGUACGUGAAAUUGUUGAAAGGGAAGGGCUUGAGAUCAGACUUGGUAUUUUGCAUGUUGCUCUCUCGGGGGCGGCCGCUGCGGUUUACCGGGCCAGCAUCGGUUUGGAGCGGCAGGAUAAUGGCGGAGGAAUGUGGCACGGCUUCUGCUGUGUGUUAUAGCCUCUGACGAUACUGCCAGCCUAGACCGAGGACUGCGGUUUUUACCUAGGAUGUUGGCAUAAUGAUCUUAAGUCGCCCGU